UACGUAGGGGGCUAGCGUUGUCCGGAAUCAUUGGGCGUAAAGAGCGUGUAGGCGGUCCGGUAAGUCCGCUGUGAAAGUCGGGGGCUCAACCCUCGAAUGCCGGUGGAUACUGUCGGGCUAGAGUGCGGGAGAGGCGAGUGGAAUUCCUGGUGUAGCGGUGAAAUGCGCAGAUAUCAGGAGGAACACCUAUUGCGAAGGCAGCUCGCUGGGACGUAACUGACGCUGAGACACGAAAGCGUGGGGAGCAAACAGG
RNAcentral lists this ribosomal RNA (253 nucleotides) under uncultured bacterium. Its description in RNAcentral is "partial 16S ribosomal RNA". It matches the Rfam family "Bacterial small subunit ribosomal RNA", at positions 524 to 776 of the family's 1533-position model. The record is from RNAcentral.